RNAcentral lists this ribosomal RNA (260 nucleotides) under uncultured bacterium. Its description in RNAcentral is "partial 16S ribosomal RNA". It matches the Rfam family "Bacterial small subunit ribosomal RNA", at positions 524 to 777 of the family's 1533-position model. The record is from RNAcentral.
UACAGAGGUCCCAAGCGUUGUUCGGAUUCACUGGGCGUAAAGGGUGCGUAGGUGGCCGUGGAAGUUCGAUGUGAAAGCUCGGAGCUUAACUCCGAAAUGGCAUUGAAUACUCUACGGCUCGAGGGUCGGAGGGGAGACUGGAAUUCUCGGGUGUAGCAGUGAAAUGCGUAGAUAUCGAGAGGAACACCUGCGGCGAAGGCGGGGUUUUGCUGGGGCUGACACUGACGCUGAAGUGCGAAAAGCUAGGGGAGCGAACGGGG